RNAcentral lists this transfer RNA (68 nucleotides) under Bombus hypocrita sapporensis (Sapporo bumblebee). RNAcentral describes it as "tRNA-Arg". The record is from RNAcentral. Lineage: Eukaryota; Metazoa; Arthropoda; Insecta; Hymenoptera; Apidae.
GUAUAAGAAGUAAAUAUAAUUACAUUUAAUUUCGGCUUAAAUAUAGAUUUAAAAAAAAUCCUUAUAUU